AGAACGAACGCUGGCGGCAGGCCUCAAACAUGCAAGUCUAGGGGGCGUAGCAAUACGUCACCGGCGGACGGGUGCGUAACACGUGGGAAUGUACCUAUUGGUUCGGAACAACUCAGGGAAACUUGAGCUAAUACCGAAUGUGCCCGAAAGGGGAAAGAUUUAUCGCCAAUAGAUCAGCCCGCGUCCGAUUAGCUAGUUGGUGGGGUAAAGGCUCACCAAGGCGACGAUCGGUAGCUGUUCUGAGAGGAAGAUCAGCCACACUGGGACUGAGACACGGCCCAGACUCCUACGGGAGGCAGCAGUGGGGAAUAUUGCGCAAUGGGCGAAAGCCUGACGCAGCGACGCCGCGUGAGGGAUGACGGCCUUCGGGUUGUAAACCUCUUUCAGCUCUGACGAAGCGCAAGUGACGGUAGGAGCAGAAGAAGCACCGGCCAACUACGUGCCAGCAGCCGC
RNAcentral lists this ribosomal RNA (453 nucleotides) under uncultured bacterium. RNAcentral's name for it is "SSU rRNA". It matches the Rfam family "Bacterial small subunit ribosomal RNA", at positions 26 to 518 of the family's 1533-position model. The record is from RNAcentral.